AUGCCCGCGGGCCUCCCUUCUCUUGGGUUGUCGCCGUUGUGCACAUGCACGCAACGUCUUCCGUUCUCUGCCGGCUGCCGGAGUUUUCCUCUACGCUUUCAUGGCGGCCAUGGUGCUCCAAUCCCGAGUUUCCAGCGUCGCUACCUGGCCCGUGCAAGGUCCAAGCAGGGCGAGAAGGAUGCCGGAGCCAGCCACAACCACAACCAUUCCUCUGUGUGCAUGCGUGAAUUCUGUUGUGUGUCGUCAGCUUGCUUUCUAUUUGCUGCUGCUUGCUUACUGCUUUCUGUAUUGUUAUAG
RNAcentral lists this ribosomal RNA (297 nucleotides) under Triticum aestivum (bread wheat). RNAcentral describes it as "partial small subunit ribosomal RNA". The record is from RNAcentral. Lineage: Eukaryota; Viridiplantae; Streptophyta; Magnoliopsida; Poales; Poaceae.